RNAcentral lists this ribosomal RNA (245 nucleotides) under uncultured bacterium. RNAcentral's name for it is "partial 16S ribosomal RNA". It matches the Rfam family "Bacterial small subunit ribosomal RNA", at positions 524 to 768 of the family's 1533-position model. The record is from RNAcentral.
UACGGAGGGUGCAAGCGUUAUCCGGAUUUACUGGGUUUAAAGGGUGUGUAGGCGGGCUUUUAAGUCAGUGGUGAAAUCUCCGGGCUCAACCUGGAAACUGCCAUUGAUACUAUUAGUCUUGAAUAUUGUUGAGGUAGGCGGAAUAAGUCAUGUAGCGGUGAAAUGCAUAGAUAUGACUUAGAACACCGAUUGCGAAGGCAGCUUACUAAGCAAUGAUUGACGCUGAGGCACGAAAGCGUGGGGAU